Molecule: ribosomal RNA, 253 nt
Filed under: uncultured bacterium
Lineage: Bacteria
Description: partial 16S ribosomal RNA
Rfam family: Bacterial small subunit ribosomal RNA
Source: RNAcentral
UACAGAGGUCCCGAGCGUUGUUCGGAUUCACUGGGCGUAAAGGGUGCGUAGGCGGCGCGGUAAGUCGGAUGUGAAAUCUCGGAGCUUAACUUCGAAACUGCAUUCGAUACUGCCGUGCUUGAGGACUGGAGAGGAGACUGGAAUUUACGGUGUAGCGGUGAAAUGCGUAGAUAUCGUAAGGAAGACCAGUGGCGAAGGCGGGUCUCUGGACAGUUUCCUGACGCUGAGGCACGAAGGUCAGGGAGCAAACGGG